UACAGAGGUCUCAAGCGUUGUUCGGAAUUACUGGGCGUAAAGGGCUCGUAGGCGGCCAACUAAGUCAGACGUGAAAUCCCUCGGCUUAACCGGGGAACUGCGUCUGAUACUGGAUGGCUCGAGUUUGGGAGAGGGAUGCGGAAUUCCAGGUGUAGCGGUGAAAUGCGUAGAUAUCUGGAGGAACACCGGUGGCGAAGGCGGCAUCCUGGACCAAUACUGACGCUGAAUAGCGAAAGCCAGGGGAGCAAACGGG
Molecule: ribosomal RNA, 253 nt
Filed under: uncultured bacterium
Lineage: Bacteria
Description: partial 16S ribosomal RNA
Rfam family: Bacterial small subunit ribosomal RNA
Source: RNAcentral